RNA transcript from Bombus pyrosoma, 945 nucleotides. It is a transcript of the gene named peptidyl-tRNA hydrolase 2, mitochondrial-like, with no coding region annotated. Lineage: Eukaryota; Metazoa; Arthropoda; Insecta; Hymenoptera; Apidae. The transcript has 6 exons. The record is from RefSeq and is a predicted model, not a curated record.
AUUAAUUUUUAUCAGAGUUAUAUGUGUAUGAUGUACUAUGUACAUUUAUAUUGUAUAUGUUUAAAUGAUACCUAACCUUAUAGAAGCUGUCACAUGGAACAAUAUAAGUUUUACUUAUAUCAAAAGAAAAAGUUAAUUUAAGGAUAUAUACGUUUUGUAAAAUUACUUUGAUAAUUUUGAUAAAGUUUAGUAAGAUGAAUAUUACUCAAAUACUUUUGCAAACCGCUACAGAUGCAAAGGUAGGAUUUAUAAUUUCAGCAAUAAUAGGUUAUUCUUUGUACAAAAUAAUAGCAGUAAUAAAUAGAAAAAAAUUGCAAUCUUCUAAUGAUAAUUGCAAUGAAACUUUAAAUUAUAUGCAAAUAUAUUCAGAUAAUUACAAGCUUGUUUUAGUUAUUAGAACUGAUUUAAAAAUGGGAAAAGGAAAAAUUGCAGCACAAUGUGCUCAUGCUGCCGUUGCAGCAUAUAAGGCAGCCACAAAGUAUCCUGAAUUUUUAUAUGCUUGGGAAAAGUGUGGACAAACUAAAAUUACUGUUAAGGUGGAUAGCGAGAAUGCUUUGAAAGAAAUAGCAAAACAAGCUAGAGCUGUAGGACUUUUGGCAAAUAUAAUACAGGAUGCUGGACAGACACAAGUAAAGCCAGGAAGUAAAACAGUAUGUGCUAUUGGUCCAGGUCCAGCUCAAUUGAUAGAUAAUGUAACUGGUCAUUUAAAAUUGUUUUAAUAAUGAACAAAAUAAAGAUGGAUCUUCACAAGGAUCUGCAGUUAAUGCUAAACUGGCAGAAUUCCAGAAAACUGGUACUGUUAAAUGUACACAUUCUGCAUCAGAUUCUGUUUCAGUAGAAGCAACACUUUCUGACCAUCUAUAUUCUUCCCUGAUUUCUUCAGGAAGUACAGGAUUUCCUGCAACUAAUGCAGCUACUGUUGCACCUCCUUCUGGCAUAGGAGUC